UACGAAGGGGGCUAGCGUUGCUCGGAAUCACUGGGCGUAAAGCGCACGUAGGCGGAUUGCUAAGUCAGGGGUGAAAUCCUGGAGCUCAACUCCAGAACUGCCUUUGAUACUGGCAACCUUGAGUCCGGGAGAGGUGAGUGGAACUGCGAGUGUAGAGGUGAAAUUCGUAGAUAUUCGCAAGAACACCCGUGGCGAAGGCGGCUCUCUGGAACGCAACUGACGCUGAGACGCGAAAGCGUGGGGAGCAAACAGG
Molecule: ribosomal RNA, 253 nt
Filed under: uncultured bacterium
Lineage: Bacteria
Description: partial 16S ribosomal RNA
Rfam family: Bacterial small subunit ribosomal RNA
Source: RNAcentral